UACCGUAAGAAGUCCCACUCAGUUAGAUGUA
This 31-nucleotide non-coding RNA is filed under the name Rattus norvegicus (Norway rat). The record is from RNAcentral. Lineage: Eukaryota; Metazoa; Chordata; Mammalia; Rodentia; Muridae.